This is a long non-coding RNA of Daktulosphaira vitifoliae (grape phylloxera), 1075 nucleotides long. RefSeq lists it as uncharacterized. The record is from RefSeq and is a predicted model, not a curated record. Lineage: Eukaryota; Metazoa; Arthropoda; Insecta; Hemiptera; Phylloxeridae. The transcript has 2 exons.
AUAUAAUGAAAAAAUUUUAGUACUUAGUUUAAGUAAAUAAAUUAUACGGUGAUAUUAGUAUGUGACUUAUGGAGAACUUUUUAGUGUCAUAAAUGAAUAAAUCACAGUUAGUCAGUUAUUUUAUACGUUUAUUUUGAAUAGAGUUUCUAUUACUUAUUGUAUAUUUUGGACAUGUGGGUAUUAUCUACCACAUUCCUUUUAUAAUUUUAAUAUAUCAACAAGUGGUUUUAAACACUACUGAUUACUGUUAUUACUUAAUAAAUAUAAGCAUCUUAUUUUUGCGAAUAAAAUACUAUCAUAACCCUCUUAUUUAAUAUCUUUUACUGCCGUAUCACUUAAUAAAAAAUUAUAUAAAAAUUUGUCUUUUAACAUCAUUUUUUAUUUUUUUACCAUUCAAUUGCGUAUAACUUCAAUAUACAUUAUCAUAUCAGCUCAAUAAUUUAAAAGUUAAAGAAAAGAAGGAAAACUAAAUUAUAAUUAACAAUCUGUGUAAAUAAUUUGUUAUUUAGUAAGAAGCAUACAAACAUCAUAAACUCCCAUUUAUUUGUUAAUAUGUCUUAUUUUAAAAGUUCUAUAUGCGUCAAAGAGUUGAAAUAAUUCUAAAUUAUUUCAUAAGAUGAAAACUUAAAAAAUUUACAAACAUUCAUCGUACAUUUAUUUUUUAAAAGGAUUUGGCGCCACGCAGACAAUGAGUAGCACUGUCACCGAUCACAUUGAUCCCCUUGAACCAUUGUAAUAAUAAAAAUAACCGAAAAAGUGGUAAAUAGCAUUUGGCUUUUGUAAAUAUUCAAAAGAUUAAAUGUUCGGUUUACACGCGCAUAUGCAGAUAUCUUGAUACUUGUGGGGAUAUUUGAUAUAACCAGGAUUACAAUCCACUGGGGAUACGUUUGAAAAAGUGGAAAGAUUGGAAUCAUAAUACUUCUUGGCGUACAAAAUUAAAGUUUGCUUUUUUUUAUUCUACAUUAACUCCAACAAAAGACACCAUCGCACAGAGAUUAAAUUCAAAUAUCAUUUUUUAUGCAUCAAAACAGAUGAUCAUUUUUGAUUUUUAUUAAAAUUAUUAAAAAAAAAAAAA